AUUGAACGCUGGCGGCAGGCCUAACACAUGCAAGUCGAACGAGAGGCGGACGGGUGAGUAAUGUCUGGGAAACUGCCUGACGGACGGGGAUAACUACUGGAAACGGUAGCUAAUACCGCAUACCAUCGGAUGUGCACAGAUGGGAUUAGCUAGUAGGUGGGGAAACGGCUCACCUAGGCGUCGAUCCCUAGCUGGUCUGAGAGGAUGACCAGCCACACUGGAACUGAGACAAGGUCCAGACUCCUACGGGAGGCAGCAGUGGGGAAUAUUGCAUAAUGGGCGCAAGCCUGAUGCAGCCAUGCCGCGUGUAUGAAGAAGGCCUUCGGGUUGUAAAGUACUUUCAGCGGGGAGGCGUUACCCGCAGAAGAAGCACCGGCUAACUCCGUGCCAGCAGCCGCGGUAAUUC
RNAcentral lists this ribosomal RNA (406 nucleotides) under uncultured bacterium. RNAcentral describes it as "partial 16S ribosomal RNA". It matches the Rfam family "Bacterial small subunit ribosomal RNA", at positions 30 to 526 of the family's 1533-position model. The record is from RNAcentral.